Molecule: ribosomal RNA, 252 nt
Filed under: uncultured Bacteroidales bacterium
Lineage: Bacteria; Pseudomonadati; Bacteroidota; Bacteroidia; Bacteroidales
Description: partial 16S ribosomal RNA
Rfam family: Bacterial small subunit ribosomal RNA
Source: RNAcentral
UACGGAGGAUGCGAGCGUUAUCCGGAUUUAUUGGGUUUAAAGGGUGCGUAGGCGGGAUGCCAAGUCAGCGGUCAAAUACGGGGGCUCAACCCCGCUCCGCCGUUGAAACUGUGUCCCUUGAGUGCGCGAAGGGUAGGCGGAAUGCGUGGUGUAGCGGUGAAAUGCAUAGAUAUCACGCAGAACUCCGAUUGCGAAGGCAGCAUACCGGUGCACAACUGACGCUCAGGCACGAAAGCGUGGGUAUCGAACAGG